Long non-coding RNA from Capsicum annuum, 863 nucleotides. RefSeq lists it as uncharacterized. The transcript has 4 exons. NCBI's taxonomy places the organism in Eukaryota, Viridiplantae, Streptophyta, Magnoliopsida, Solanales, Solanaceae. The record is from RefSeq and is a predicted model, not a curated record.
CUAGACUGACCUGUUGACUUGUUGACUUGUUCCUGACUUGGCUGUACACAUUAAAUCUUUAUUACAUACUUUAGAAGAAGCUUUGUUUUAACAAUUUUUUCCCCUUCCUGCAGCUUUUUCUGUCGUAAUGGAGCAGAGGCUUACUAUCGAUGCAAUCACACCGCUAACUACAGAAUGGACCUGCAAAGUUCAUGUGGUGGAUAAGUUUCUCUCUCUCAAGAGCAAAGAUCAAAUUGUUCAUUUCCAAACAAUAAAUGUGCAGGAUGAAAACGAAGAACAGGUUUCCACAGAUCUCCGUAUGGUGUAGGUGUCUAAACUGUUUGCCCCUUACUCAAUGCGAGCCAACAUGAAAGGGUUGUCAAUAGGUACACAAUCAUUGAGCCUAUUACCAACAACAACAGUGCACCAUUACCUGCUCCAUGAAAUUUGAAUGCUUCCCCUUUUCCGGAUAUCGAAGAAUUUGGACUACACUUCUGGAACCAAAUCAGACAGCAAUGAUAGGACACAAGAGGCUUGUCAACCAACCGCAAACUUAAAACUAAUCAGAUGUACAAGCAAGCUAGAGUCUGAAGAAGCUACUAAUCUUGAAGGAAGUGCAGAACAAUUUAAGCAUUUGGAUAAGUUGGAAGUAUAAGCGGAACUUUAGUUUGUUACAAUCUGUUUAGAAAUGUCACGUUUGUGGAAGCUACAAUUUCAUUCUCUUUAAUCUGGAGUUGACAAAUAUAAUGUCAUUUAAUUUGAAUGUGUACAUUUUUAGUUGACAAAUGUAAUGUCAUUUCUUAUUUUAGCAAUGUCUGUACAUCAACAUUCAGACUCAUCAUCUAGUCACUUAAUUUAAAGCAAGAUAGCUCCAGAUUACGUUA